Dendronephthya gigantea is the source of this 836-nucleotide long non-coding RNA. RefSeq lists it as uncharacterized. NCBI's taxonomy places the organism in Eukaryota, Metazoa, Cnidaria, Anthozoa, Malacalcyonacea, Nephtheidae. The record is from RefSeq and is a predicted model, not a curated record. The transcript has 4 exons.
AUUGCUUGUCUAAGAAUAAAGCGAGGGAAGGGCUGGUUGUGUUCAAAGCACUUAUGUUCCAGUUUUACUAUAAUUGAAAAUCGUGACAAAUAACCGUCAGUGAUAUUUCUUGCCUGCUUUAAAAAAAAAGUUUGGUCCAGUGUAUUUAAUUAAUUUAUAUAUUAUACCUCAGAUUCAAAUUGUCCAAUAAAAAAACUGUAUUUGUACCACGUGAUGAGUAGAUUUUUUGUGGAAGCACAUAGACUGCGAACUUAAAUCCUGGUAUUUUUACCCGGGGCAUGUAAUUUAAAGUCGAAUAAUUACCCUCUUUUGCCCGCAAGGGAGGGUGAUUCCACUUUACAUCACCCCCGAAUUCGUAAACUAGCCUGCCGUUACGGGUGUCAGAUUGUAAAUAUGGCCGACGGCAACAAGACGCCGGACGACUUUUUGUCAACAGCUUUAAAUUUUCGGUAUAAUAUAUCAGUUAUCAACCUUUCACUCGGGUGAUUCCACAAGAAAUUACCCUGAGGGAUGAAAUAUUCCGAGGGCAUGCGCUUGGUCUAAUCUAUAAUCAUCUUUGGAAAUAUACUAUUCAUUUCAUGUUUCAGUUUACUAUCGGAACAAAAUAAAACCCAAUUAUCCUGCAUCGCGUGCACGGCUGAUACAGAUUCAAUCGCGAAGAAAUUGGCAGAGACAGCAACGAAGGAGACUAUUCAACUUCUCGGCACAAAUUCAAGCUUAUUUUCAUUAAUAAAAUAUGCAGCAGUUCUCAGGCGAUAUUACCUCUACGGCCAACUGAUGAUGGAUCCAUGGUGCAGCAGUUCUCAGGCGAUAUUACCUCUACGGCCAACUGAUGA